AUGGCAAGGACUAUGUGGAACCAAACAGCGACUACUGGCUGUCUUCUUGUAGAAAACCCUUGCACUGCUCAAGCAUCUCUACUCUAUUCCUUCCUUUUCUUCAUGCCCCCUAAGGUGCAAAGUGUGAUACGCCUGCAGCCAGUGAAGUUGUUGGAGUCUUGGAGGGCUUCAGAGGGGCUUUCUCUGGCAGAAUUCUUCAAGAAAGGGGAAAAGUGCAGGUUUUGUAAUACAGCUUUUGUAAAUAAAUACCUAAAUUGCAUGUAAUUCAACAGCUAAGCAUUUUCUUAAGCACUAGUAUCAAGAUACUGACUAAAAAGUAAAUAAUAUGAAAAAUUUCUGCUAGUAAAAUCUUCUCUUUCCUAAUAUAAAAGAAGGUGGAGAAAAUAUAUUGUAUAUGCAAAAUGUUUUUUUGCUUUUUUUGAAGCAAAGAGUGUGUAUAAUGAAAACUAUUUGAAAUAAGUUUAAGAAAAAUGUGCUUGAAUGCAAUAAUGUAAGAAAAAAAAGCUUUACAAGAUUUUACAAGAUUGUAUCUGUAAUUCAUUGUAACCAGGGGAAAACUGAUUCUUCUGUAGAGUGCAGACAAACAGACAACAUUCCACUGGCUUGGACUGGGGCUCUGUGUAGGUGGCAUGUUGGCCCUUGGCACAGAGUGACUUCACAGUGCUAGGUGAUACCAUUUUAAACAGUUAAUUAAACUAAAGUUUAAAUGUUUUAGACCCACAUUUCAGCCCCCAAAAUCUGAAAAUAAAGGACCAUCUUACUUCCUCUCA
RNAcentral lists this long non-coding RNA (770 nucleotides) under Cyanistes caeruleus (blue tit). RNAcentral's name for it is "lncRNA (ENSCCEG00000002285.1)". Lineage: Eukaryota; Metazoa; Chordata; Aves; Passeriformes; Paridae. The record is from RNAcentral.